This 881-nucleotide ribosomal RNA is filed under the name uncultured bacterium. RNAcentral's name for it is "bacterial SSU rRNA". It matches the Rfam family "Bacterial small subunit ribosomal RNA", at positions 8 to 916 of the family's 1533-position model. The record is from RNAcentral.
AGAGUUUGAUCCUGGCUCAGGACGAACGCUGGCGGCGCGCCUAAUACAUGCAAGUCGAACGGGUACUCUUUGGAGUGCCAGUGGCGGACGGGUGAGUAACACGUGGGUGACCUGCCCUCUGGUGGGGAAUAACUCUGGGAAACCAGAGCUAAUACCGCAUAUGCUCUGUGCUUCGUGGCAUCGAGUAAAGCUUAUGCGCCGGAGGAGGGGCCUGCGCCAGAUUAGCUAGUCGGUGGGGUAACGGCUCACCGAGGCGACGAUCUGUAGCUGGUCUGAGAGGACGACCAGCCACACUGGGACUGAGACACGGCCCAGACUCCUACGGGAGGCAGCAGUAAGGAAUAUUCCACAAUGGGCGCAAGCCUGAUGGAGCGACGCCGCGUGAGCGAAGAAGCCUCUAGGGGUGUAAAGCUCUUUUCAGUGGGAUGACAACGACAGUACCACUGGAAUAAGCCCCGGCUAACUACGUGCCAGCAGCCGCGGUAAUACGUAGGGUCCGAGCGUUGUCCGGAAUUAUUGGGCGUAAAGGGCUUGUAGGCGGUCUGUCACGUCGGAAGUGAAAACUCAGGGCUUAACCCUGAGCCUGCUUCCGAUACGGGCAGACUAGAGGGAUGCAGGGGAGAACGGAAUUCCUGGUGGAGCGGUGGAAUGCGCAGAUAUCAGGAGGAACACCGGUGGCGAAGGCGGUUCUCUGGGCAUUUCCUGACGCUGAGAAGCGAAAGCGUGGGGAGCAAACAGGCUUAGAUACCCUGGUAGUCCACGCCGUAAACGGUGGGCACUAGGUGUGGGGAACAUUCCACGUUCUCCGUGCCGCAGCUAACGCAUUAAGUGCCCCGCCUGGGGAGUACGGCCGCAAGGCUAAAACUCAAAGGAAUUGACGG